GACGAACGCUGGCGGCGUGCUUAACACAUGCAAGUCGAACGGAAAGUCCCUGCUUUUGUGGGGUGCUCGAGGGGCGAACGGGUGAGUAACACGUGAGUAACCUGCCCUUGACUUUGGGAUAACUUCAGGAAACUGGGGCUAAUACCGGAUAGGAGCUCCUGCUGCAUGGUGGGGGUUGGAAAGUUUCGGCGGUUGGGGGUGGACUGGCGGCUUAUCAGCUUGUUGGUGUGGUAGUGGCUUACCAAGGCCUUGCCGGGUAGGCUGCCUGAGAGGGGGACCGGCCACAUUGCGCCUGGGAUACGGCACAGACUAGUACGGGAGGCAACAGUGGAGAGGAGUGCACAAUGGGAGGAAGGCUGAUGCAGCAACGCAGCGUGCGGGAUGACGGGCUGCGGGUUGUAAACUGCUUCUGUCUUUGACGAAGCGUGAGUGACGGUAAUGGGUAAAGAAGCACCGGCUAACUACGUG
Molecule: ribosomal RNA, 468 nt
Filed under: uncultured bacterium
Lineage: Bacteria
Description: partial 16S ribosomal RNA
Rfam family: Bacterial small subunit ribosomal RNA
Source: RNAcentral